This 229-nucleotide ribosomal RNA is filed under the name uncultured bacterium. RNAcentral's name for it is "partial 16S ribosomal RNA". It matches the Rfam family "Bacterial small subunit ribosomal RNA", at positions 568 to 796 of the family's 1533-position model. The record is from RNAcentral.
UCCGUAGCCGGUUUGGUAAGUUCCUGGUUAAAUCUGGCAGCUUAACUGUCAGUUGGCUAGGAAUACUGCCUUACUAGAGGGUGGGAAAGGUUUGGGGUACUCCAGGGGUAGCGGUGAAAUGCGAUAAUCCUUGGGGGACCACCAGUGGCGAAGGCGCCAGACUGGAACACGCCUGACGGUGAGGGACGAAAGCCAGGGGAGCGAACAGGAUUAGAUACCCUGGUAGUCC